Molecule: ribosomal RNA, 253 nt
Filed under: uncultured bacterium
Lineage: Bacteria
Description: partial 16S ribosomal RNA
Rfam family: Bacterial small subunit ribosomal RNA
Source: RNAcentral
UACGUAGGGGGCAAGCGUUGUCCGGAUUUAUUGGGCGUAAAGAGCGUGUAGGCGGUUAGGUAGGUCCGUUGUGAAAACUCGAGGCUCAACCUCGAGACGCCGAUGGAAACCAUCUGACUAGAGUCCGGAAGAGGAGAGUGGAAUUCCUGGUGUAGCGGUGAAAUGCGCAGAUAUCAGGAAGAACACCCGUGGCUAAGGCGGCUCUCUAGUACGUGACUGACGCUGAGACGCGAAAGCGUGGGGAGCGAACAGA